GAUGAACGCUGGCGGCGUGCCUAAUACAUGCAAGUCGAGCGAACAGAUAAGGAGCUUGCUCCUUUGACGUUAGCGGCGGACGGGUGAGUAACACGUGGAUAACCUACCUAUAAGACUGGGAUAACUUCGGGAAACCGGAGCUAAUACCGGAUAACAUAUUGAACCGCAUGGUUCAAUAGUGAAAGGCGGCUUUGCUGUCACUUAUAGAUGGAUCCGCGCCGUAUUAGCUAGUUGGUAAGGUAACGGCUUACCAAGGCAACGAUACGUAGCCGACCUGAGAGGGUGAUCGGCCACACUGGAACUGAGACACGGUCCAGACUCCUACGGGAGGCAGCAGUAGGGAAUCUUCCGCAAUGGGCGAAAGCCUGACGGAGCAACGCCGCGUGAGUGAUGAAGGUCUUCGGAUCGUAAAACUCUGUUAUCAGGGAAGAACAAAUGUGUAAGUAACUGUGCACAUCUGGACGGUACCUGAUCAGAAAACCACGGCUAACUACGU
RNAcentral lists this ribosomal RNA (496 nucleotides) under uncultured bacterium. RNAcentral's name for it is "partial 16S ribosomal RNA". It matches the Rfam family "Bacterial small subunit ribosomal RNA", at positions 28 to 506 of the family's 1533-position model. The record is from RNAcentral.